RNAcentral lists this ribosomal RNA (59 nucleotides) under Ophiostoma piceae. RNAcentral describes it as "partial 28S ribosomal RNA". It matches the Rfam family "Eukaryotic large subunit ribosomal RNA", at positions 1 to 57 of the family's 3401-position model. The record is from RNAcentral. Lineage: Eukaryota; Fungi; Ascomycota; Sordariomycetes; Ophiostomatales; Ophiostomataceae.
GUUGACCUCGGAUCAGGUAGGAUUACCCGCUGAACUUAAGCAUAUCAAUAAGCGGAGGA